UACGUAGGGGGCAAGCGUUGUCCGGAAUCAUUGGGCGUAAAGCGCGUGUAGGCGGCUCGGAAAGUCUGGUGUGAAAACUUGAGGCUCAACCUCAAGGGUGUCGCUGGAUACUAUCGAGCUUGAAUCCGGAAGAGGAGAGUGGAAUUCCUGGUGUAGCGGUGGAAUGCGCAGAUAUCAGGAGGAACACCAAUGGCGAAGGCAGCUCUCUGGUACGUGACUGACGCUGAGACGCGAAAAGCGUGGGGAGCGAACAGG
Molecule: ribosomal RNA, 255 nt
Filed under: uncultured bacterium
Lineage: Bacteria
Description: partial 16S ribosomal RNA
Rfam family: Bacterial small subunit ribosomal RNA
Source: RNAcentral